CGCUUUAGCUCAGCUGGUAGAGCAUCUGAUUUGUAAUCAGAGGGUCGAGAAUUCGGGGCUCUUGCCUACAGCAACCC
RNAcentral lists this transfer RNA (77 nucleotides) under Robiginitomaculum sp. Its description in RNAcentral is "tRNA-Thr". The stretch from base 6 to 63 matches the Rfam family "tRNA", at positions 8 to 63 of the family's 71-position model. Rfam says of the family: Transfer RNA (tRNA) molecules are approximately 80 nucleotides in length. Lineage: Bacteria; Pseudomonadati; Pseudomonadota; Alphaproteobacteria; Maricaulales; Robiginitomaculaceae. The record is from RNAcentral.